GUCAACUACCCGCGACUAAAGUCGCAGGCUUGUCUCGCGCAGGCCUAAGACUGGCGUCGGUACAUACGUACUAGCUGAUUAGCCUAAUGUGUUUCGGGCACUAUGUUAUCCGCAAAAAUACAGGCACCUGGGGAUUCUUCCCACGUCCCUCGCUCUGC
Molecule: small RNA, 158 nt
Filed under: Intestinibaculum porci
Lineage: Bacteria; Bacillati; Bacillota; Erysipelotrichia; Erysipelotrichales; Erysipelotrichaceae
Description: HNH endonuclease-associated RNA and ORF (HEARO) RNA
Rfam family: HNH endonuclease-associated RNA and ORF (HEARO) RNA
Source: RNAcentral